ACUGACAGCCAUGGUUACCGCGGCUGCUGGCACGGAGUUAGCCGGUGCUUCUUCUGCGAGUAACGUCACAGAUGUAAGGUAUUAACUUACACCCUUUCCUCCUCGCUGAAAGUGCUUUACAACCCGAAGGCCUUCUUCACACACGCGGCAUGGCUGCAUCAGGGUUUCCCCCAUUGUGCAAUAUUCCCCACUGCUGCCUCCCGUAGGAGUCUGGGCCGUGUCUCAGUCCCAGUGUGGCUGAUCAUCCUCUCAGACCAGCUAGGGAUCGUCGCCUAGGUGAGCCUUUACCUCACCUACUAGCUAAUCCCACCUGGGCUUAUCCAUCAGCGCAAGGCCCGAAGGUCCCCUGCUUUCCCCCGUAGGGCGUAUGCGGUAUUAGCAGUCGUUUCCAACUGUUAUCCCCCACAAAUGGGCAAAUUCCCAGGCAUUACUCACCCGUCCGCCGCUCGUCAUCUUCAAAAGCAAGCUUUUGAAAUGUUACCGCUCGACUUGCAUGUGUUAGGCCUGCCGCCAGCGUUC
Molecule: ribosomal RNA, 519 nt
Filed under: uncultured bacterium
Lineage: Bacteria
Description: partial 16S ribosomal RNA
Source: RNAcentral